Non-coding RNA from Misgurnus anguillicaudatus (oriental weatherfish), 2009 nucleotides. The record is from RefSeq and is a predicted model, not a curated record. Lineage: Eukaryota; Metazoa; Chordata; Actinopteri; Cypriniformes; Cobitidae.
UACAUGGUACACAGCGGUAAACAUGAGGUUAAAAAUACGCGAAGUAACAUUCAAACCGGGCUUUUAAAAGAAUCAAUUCGAUGUUUAAGUUUUUAAAAACAAAACUUUAAAGAAGCCAAGAUGAGACGUUCUUUGCUCAAAGCAACAGUAACUUGUGUGUUGGAAAUGUUAGCAGCUAGCAAGUGUCUCUCUGCUAUUCUAAAUGAUACACAGACGAUCUUUUGUUGUUUAAAAGCUCAUUGCUUUAGUGCUGGUAGAUGCUGCUUAUUUUUCAAGACGGUUUUAAUAGCUUUAUAUUGAUUUGUAACAAAGCCAGCUUCACUUUGAGAGAACCUAGAUGCUAAUUGUAAAGAAGCUUGGAGUCAUAAUAUAUUUUAACAUAAUAUGUUUGCUGUUCUUCAUCUUUUUAAAUAUUAUGUCUAUCCAUGUUUGUGUUUACAGAGGUCAUGUACACUGUGGUCAACUUUGUGGACGCUGAAGAGGUUUCUGGGUAAAGAUGAUAGAAAUAUAAUGAAGUAACAGUGGAAGCUAAAACAUCAGACUGAUCCAGACAAGAAAUUGAUGUCACUGCAAUCUGGCCAAAAUGAUACAACUAUAUUGAAGUAGCCUACUGUAAUGAAGCUGCAGAACUUCACAGAGACUCUGAGGACAUCAACACACAAAAUCAAGGCUCCAAAGAGAUGGCUGUCCAGAUGAGGGUGCAUCAACGUUACCUUUGCUGACAAGUAUAUGCUUUACAAUGUAAAACCGUUAACUUAACUCAAACCAUUUAAGGAAAUCGGUUGCCUUAAACCAUUAAGUUUUAAAAAACAUACAUUUGAGUACUGUGAACUUAAGUCUUGUGCAAUUAUGCACUUAUAUUUAGGUAGUGUGAACUUAAAUAUAAGUGCUUAACUGCAUGUGACUCAAUUUGUUUAAGUUCACAGUAAUCAAAUCUAUGCGUUUUAAAACUUGAAUGGUUUAAUGCAACCGGUUUUCUUAAAUGUGAGAAAUUACAGUGUUACAGUGAGAAAUGUUUGAAUAAUUCCAAGACAGAUCUCUGUGAUUGAUUCUACACUGCAAAAAAAUCACUUUCUAACACUUAUCUUGUUUUCAGUAGAAAAACUAAAAAUUCUUAAAUCAAGAUGCAUUUUCUUGAUGAGCAAAAUUACCUUAGAAAAUAUGUCUAGUUUUUAGACAAAAAUAUACAAUUUAAGAUAAUUUGUGCCUAAACAAGAAAAAAUAUCUAACAAUAAGGUGAGAAAAUUGUGUUUUAAUUAAGUUUUUAAGAAAAAAGAAAACUUAAGAUUUUUUUCUCACACUAUUGGCAGAUAUUUUUGCUUGUUUUAAGCACAAAUUCACUUAGUGUGUGUGUGUGUGUAUUAUUUAUUUAAAUAAUAUUUCUACUGAAAACAAGACAAAAAUACUAUGUAAGAAAGUCAUUUUUUGCAAUGUUGGACUGAUUUCUUAAGAGCAAGAUCAAUAUAGUUGUUGUUCAUUUUAUUUAGAUAUUUACUACAUUACAGUGGCAGCUGGUGACUUCUUUUUUUUGUGAGCACUAUCACUCGAUGCGAAGUUUGUCACAACAUGUAUAUAGCCCGUCAUUUGUGUGGUUCCCAAUUUCAAAAUAUGUGUUCAUUGUGUCGAGUGCAUGUAUGUGCAUCACGUGUUUUGACUAAACACGUGAUGCACGUGGUUUACAUGAAGCAACAAACACAUAUUUUAAAAACACAAGCAACACACAUGACACUCCGAACACUUAUUUUGAAUUUUCAACCCUCGGAUGAGCAGUCACGAGCCGCCACUGUUACAUUACAUUGUACUGCUUUGAAUGUAGUUUUCAUUGUUGCUUUUAUUUUGUUUUAUUUUACUCUAUUUUACUCUAAUAUUGCUUUCUCUGUCUGUAUAUUUAUGAGUUUAAAUGGUAUUGUUUAUGUAUGCAACUUUUAAUAUUUGUGUAUUAUAUUAUUUUGUGAUUGUGACAAUUGUGGAUUGCUCAGUUUUUUAUUAAAUAAACAUUUCAAACUCAA